RNAcentral lists this long non-coding RNA (858 nucleotides) under Manihot esculenta (cassava). Its description in RNAcentral is "long non-coding RNA (MESC_LNC003595)". The record is from RNAcentral. Lineage: Eukaryota; Viridiplantae; Streptophyta; Magnoliopsida; Malpighiales; Euphorbiaceae.
CAAAACCAAUGUAAAAAAAUAUACAUAGCAAGAAGUAUUCAUAUUUUCAGCUACAAUUACUAAUAAAAAUUUCAGGGUUUAUUUUAUUGAUAUGAGAAUAGUCUUAAAAAAAAUUACUUUCUAACAGAGCUGGUGUUUGUCCUUGCAGUGAGACCCUACUGUCACUACUUUCCAUAUAGUUUGGCUAUGCUCCGGGAGCAUACCUGGAAAAAUCCUUCAUUUAGGAUAUCCGGAGCAUACCUGGAAAAAUCCUUCAUUUAGGAUAUUGGGCCUAUGGAUUUAAAUGAUGGCCAGUAUAACUUGCACAUCAUUUCUAAAUUCAAUGUAAUUUUUUCCCCCUGAACAACAGAACUAGCAAAAGCCAACUUCUGGGUUAGCUUCAUUGGAGAAGGUAUUACUACAAUGAAUAAUUGGAGCAUGAUGUCAUUUUGGGCACAGGUAAUUUAUUCCAAUCCUAUAAUGCUUAGAGUUGUGUCGGCACAAUUAUUCAUCGUCCUUGAUGAACUAUAAUCAGUUUCUGGUGGUAAAGGGCAUCUGCUAAUGCAAAGGACCAAGUACCAGUAAUAAUUGAGAUAGCACAGUAUCUCUGGCUCAUGUAAUAGCACAAUAUCCAAUGCCAAUAAGAAGCUCAACUCAGAAAAUCCUACAACUGGUUGCAUUCCCCGGAGUGAUGCUUAAAAAUUAAGGACCGAAAUUGGUUCAAUCAUGCAACUUCAUCAAUUCAAUCUGUUGGCACUAAUGGUCAUCUGCAAAAUUUCUGUUGGGUGAACUUUGUGAGGAUUUAGACAGAUUAAUCAUGGAAAUUGCACUACAUAAUCAGACCAUCUUUCAGGUGUUCCGAUGAAGAAUCUACUGAAG